Molecule: ribosomal RNA, 440 nt
Filed under: uncultured bacterium
Lineage: Bacteria
Description: partial 16S ribosomal RNA
Rfam family: Bacterial small subunit ribosomal RNA
Source: RNAcentral
CCUACGGGAGGCAGCAGUGGGGAAUUUUGCGCAAUGGGGGAAACCCUGAUGCAGCAACGCCGCGUGCGGGAUGAAGGCCCUCGGUAUGUAAACCUCUAUCAGCAGGGAAGAAAAUGACGGUACCUGCAUAAGAAGCUCCGGCUAACUACGUGCCAGCAGCCGCGGUAAUACGUAGGGGGCGAGCGUUAUCCGGAUUUACUGGGCGUAAAGGGAGCGUAGGCGGCUGGGCAAGGCGGAUGUGAAAGGCCGGGGCUUAACCCCCGGACGGGAUUGGAAACUGGUUGGCUAGAGUGCGGGAGAGGUGAGCGGAAUUCCGGGUGUAGCGGUGGAAUGCGGAGAUAUUGGGAGGAACACCGAUGGCGAAGGCGGCUUUCUGGGCGGGAACUGACGCUGAGGCGCGAAAGCGGGGGGAGCGAACAGGAUUAGAUACCCUUGUAGUC